CCUACGGGCGGCAGCAGUGAGGAAUAUUGGUCAAUGGUCGGGAGACUGAACCAGCCAAGCCGCGUGAGGGAGGAAGGUACAGAGUAUCGUAAACCUCUUUUGUCAGGGAACAAAGGCGGGGACGUGUCCCCGGAUGAGUGUACCUGAAGAAAAAGCAUCGGCUAACUCUGUGCCAGCAGCCGCGGUAAUACGGAGUAUGCGAGCGUUAUCCGGCUUUAUUGGGUUUAAAUGGUGCGCAGCCGGUCUGUUAAGUCAGCGGUAAAAGCCCGGGGCUCACCCCCGUCCCGCCGUUGAAACUGGCAGUCUCGAGUUGGAGAGAGGUAUGCGGAAUGCGCGGUGUAGCGGUGAAAUGCAUAGAUAUCGCGCAGAACUCCGAUUGCGAAGGCGGCAUGCCGGCUCCACACUGACGCUGAGGCACGAAAGCGUGGGUAUCGAACAGGAUUAGAUACCCGGGUAGUC
Molecule: ribosomal RNA, 459 nt
Filed under: uncultured bacterium
Lineage: Bacteria
Description: partial 16S ribosomal RNA
Rfam family: Bacterial small subunit ribosomal RNA
Source: RNAcentral